GGGCAGGGUGUCAUCUGACCUCAUUCAGCUGGAAGAUAUGAAUGCUGCUUCCCAAAUGCAGCCUUUCCCCUGCUGCCACCUGCUCCUUUCAGCCUUCCAACAGUCCUGGUGAUCAGAGCCACAAGUGCCUGCUUUGUCCACUCUGAGAAAUAUUCUGGAUUGGAAAUGGGGUAGAGGAGGGAGCUGGGGCUUGGCAGCUUUCUCUUUCUGCAGCCUGAACUUUCUCUGGCAGUUCACCCAGCUUUGAGCCCUCUGACCCCUGGGCACUUAUGUUUCCAGACUGCCUUACCUGGAGAUUUGCAUUUGGUAGGUCCCCCUGGGGCCUGGAUAUCCCAGUUUCAUAGGCCCCAGGGGGAGAGAAGAGAGCACCCCAGGCUAAUGCACCAUGCCUUUCACCUGGCAGUGGAGGUCCUGUUGGUCCAGGGUUUGAGCUGCCACCUGGCCUUGCCUCUAGGGCCUCCCUCCAAGUGUGCCAUGUGGGGUGGCACCUUGACUAUUUGUAGUUUCCCAGGCUCUGCCUCCCUGACCUUCUGGCUAAGGGUAUCUGGAUUUCUGCAGAAGAUGCUCCCCCUUGCGACCCCAUUCAGGCCAUAUGCUCAUUCAGUCCAGGUGGGCUGGGCCCCUAUGUGGCCCCAGAAGUGGGCAUCUGACACUGACCGAUUUCUGGAUGGACAGGUCACCCCAUGUGAACAGAUGGGACUCUGGGUUUGGGUUGGGCUGGUGGGAAGAGAACCUCUCUGUCUUCUGGGCCAGUUCGGAAGGCCUUGUAGGUCCAUCCGCCCUGGGUGAUUUCUAUUUAUCCUUCGAGGCCUGCUCAAGUACCACCUCCCCUGGGAAGUUUCCCUGACCCUAGCCAGAGCAGGCCACACCUCCUCUGAGCUCCCAACUGAAUCUGCCCAAUGCCUCAAACCUCAUAUUGUCACCAUUCAUGAGUCUGUCUCCCCACUGUCAGCAUCCUGAAGGCCAGGACCGAAUCCCUUUGCACAUUCCAACCCAGAGCCUGACCAGGAUGUGACACAUAGCAAGUGCCCAACAGGUGUUUGCUGAAUGCAGGGUGAACAUCAUUCCCUUGAAUGGGACCAGAGCCCAGAAAGGAGGGCUGGAAGUAGGGACACACACUCAAAUCUGAUGGGAAGCCAGCUCUGCUUGCCCUCCAAUCAAUCAAUCAAUCAAUCAAGCGAUCAAAGCAAUCAAUGGGAAAGGAACUUGAUUUCUGAAGCACCUGUGCUGGACCCCAGGGAGGCAGAGCACCUGUUCAGGGUCCAGGUAAGCCAGAUGAGUCAGAAAGCCAGGGCUACAAUGUCUGGGGGCUUGGGGUGCAGACAUGCAAGGGAACAGUGAGUUCUGCUCUCCUGCCCAUUUGCACCUUCAAGGCCUGAGACUGCUUCAUGAGUUACUCUUUUUUAAACACAAGCAAUUCUAUGAUAAGGGAGCUUCACCGAGAGGCUCUGAUAAGCAGGAAUGAAACUGCAUUGGCUGUCAGAAAUGCAGAGACAGCUGCAGGUGGUGGUGAGAAUGGGGGAAUGUGGCCCAGAAGCCCUGAGAUCACAGACCUAGGAGCUGAACCAAGAACCCCGAGGUUCUAGGCAGCAGCUCGGACACAUGGACCUGGCUGAAGGUAACAACAGGGGCGCCAGGGAACCAGAGCAAGCUGGGGUAUGUGCUUCAGACUUCCUCCGAAUCCAACAUGCAAAAAAAUCCCUGUGCUGCCUAUUGGCUGCUUCUGGAGCUAGUCUGGCUGUUGCAGACCCCCCUCCCCCGCCGCUGCUGUUUCAUAAGCCUCGGUUUUCCCCUCUGGGGCACAUGCUGACCGUGCACUGGGCUGCGGUGGGUGAGUACUGCCACCCUGCCUGGGGUCUGGAGGUGCCUACCAAAGCCUCUCUUCUCUCCCUUCUCUGCCCUUUGGCCCAUCCCUCAGUCAUUAGUCUCCCUGGCUGCUGCUUGUCGCUCCCAAUAGCAAGGACUUCCUGGAGGGCAGGGGCAGGUCUGAGGCCAGGCUCUUCUGCCCCAGUGUUCGCUGGGUCAGUGAACGAGGGAGGACACAGCUGCAGUGUCUCCUGCUCAAGAGUGCACGAGGUGGAAAUAACUGGGUGGGGGUCUGGUACCCUAAGCCCCUCCCUCUCUCUUUCUCUCUCUCUCUCUCUCUCUCUCUCUCUCACACACACACACACACACACACACACUCACAUGUGCCCAGCACUCUAGUUUCCAUGACAAUGCAUGUGUGAAAUGCAGCAGCCACCUUCCCAAGAUCGGAGGAAAGUCACCCUCUUCCCCAGUGGGCUCCAGGGGCCUGGUCACAAGGACAGACACAGACGCCAUGAGGAGGACAUGCAAACAGGCUGAACUGCAGAGAACAAAGCAGGUAGGGGUGGGGGAUGGGGCCACUUCACUGGCUCAGAGGACACUCUCACCUAAUGCAGCCAGGCCAUACUGCCCAUGGCUGCUGCAGACUAGGCUUAUCAUUUGGGAACUGUACUCAGGUGCUUUCUGCUGGCCCCUCAUUUUACAGACAGGGAGUGGAAGCUCAGGACUUGCAUAAGGUCAUCCAGCCAAAAAGGGCUGAAUGGGUUCUUGACACCUCCCAGCCCAGACCAGGCACAGGGAAAGGGUUCUGGGCAUUUACUGGACUAGAGUCUAGCCCUACACAGUUUACUGUCCUCUGCUCACUCUGUGUUCAUGCUGACCCUCUCUGUUUCUCAAACCCUCCAAAGCUUAUCUCACGACAGGGCCUUUGCACUUGCUCUUUCUUCUGCCUGCAACAUGUUGCCCCUUGCUCUUGCACGGGAGAUCUCAGCUACACUCCAAGCUCCUCCUAGCUUCCCAUCUUUUUCCAGGCUGUUUUUGUCAUAGCACUCACCACUACCUGAAGUCAUCUUGUUUGGAAACUUGUUUGCUUGCUACUAACCACAUCCCCUUCUCUGAAAUGUUUCAUGACAGUGGGGACCACACUUGUCAGGUUCACUGCUGUGGUCCCAGAACCCAGCCCUGGGCCUGGCACAUAGUAGGUGCUUGAUAAACAUGUGCUGAGUUCAGGAACACACAAACCCGAGUAGGGUCUUCCAACUCUACUUGGUGCCCACAGUGUCACACCACUGUCAUCACUAAAGGUCCCCAAACCCACCAGGGAAGGAGACUUAGACACUAGUGGUAUGCCAAGGGGGGGGGUAGUGCGGUGAUGGGGGGACAGGUCCCAGGGGCCUCUUCCUAGUGUCCCAUCCUGCCACAGGGCCUUACUUUGGGCCAGAGAAAUAGUUAAUAAAGCUGAGGCCUAAAUAAGCAUUUGAUUAACAAACGAUAAAAUAGCUAUUGUGUCCCUGAAUUAAGCUGUAAUUGUGGCUGAUAAUUGGCUGGUUAGAAUUUAAUAAGCUGCAAUUAAAUAGAAUGGAAUCCAGGGUAAUUAUGUGGUCACACAGCCCAGAGAGAACUAGGGAAGGAAGGCUUUCUCCUACUAUGGCAUCUUCUGCUGGGGCAGAAUGUGUGUGAGUGUGCAUGUGUGCGUGUGCGUGUGUGUGUGUGUGUGCACGUGUAUGGUGGGCCUCCUCCACCUUUCACCUGGCAGAGGGGGGCAGUGGACGCUAGCUCAGCCUCCUCACUGUUACUCAGCAGGAGGUCAACCUGCAAGCUCUGAGCCCUGCCAGGGCCAAUGGCAGUCCUGACUGAAAGAGACCUAUCAGGCACUGUCCCGGGCAAGCAGGAGGCUGCUGGAGGGAGACCAGGAGGACCCUGGGAAGGGACCCACAGGAAAAUCCAGUCCAGAUCCAGCUCCUACCAGCAGCAGCAGUCCCGAGGAGAUGCAUGGCUUGCUCCUCUGGCUUCCUGGCUGAGAGACCAUUACUGACGUAGGCUGGUUGUGCAAUGGCUGCCUCUUCCAUCAGACCGUGUACCCUGAACUGCACGAAGCAGGUGUGAGCCACCUCUUGUCAGUGGCGCCCGCCUCAAGGACUGGCCAGCUGGAGGGCAGUAAUUGUGGCUAAGUAAAAGCAUUCCCCUGACUUAUGGAAAGCUCUUGGCUGGGUACUGUGUCACUUCUAUCCCUGCCAGCUAUUGGCCCAGGGCACAUACUUGCUGAAGGCAGGGGACAGAGACCCUAGUUGGGCGUCAGAAGAUUGGGUCUCCAAUCCUCACUCUGCCUCUAUAAGGCUCUGUGGCCUUGGGCAAGUCACUGCCCUCUCUGAGCCUCAGGAGGGUCAUGAGUGGCAGACUCAGGUAUCUUCAGGGGCUGGGCGGGGGCCAGAAAUGGAGAGUAGAGAUGCCUGUCCAAGAGGUCAGCCCAGCCUGGCCAACUGCUGCUGCACAGGCAGGCUGGCCAAGGGGCACUGGAUUUUUUUCAUUGAAGAGAAGUUGGAAACCCAUUUCUAUGUGAAAUGUCCUGUUUUAAAAUGUUGAUAACUAAUUUAAACAUUGAAACACCUUGUGGGCCAAGCAAGUUGGAAGGCCAAAGCCAGACUGGACAAUGCCCAAGGCCUCCUCCUACUUUUCAGAGCUAAGAAACUGAGGUCUGGGCAAGGUGAGGGCCCCCCCCCGGUCACUGCUCUACCCUACUGGUCCCCUCCUCCUCUCUGACUCUUCCCACCCUUGCCAGCACCCUGUCAUCCCGUCUUUUCCCCAGGACCUCUCCUUAUCAAGGCCUCUUGAAGGAAGUCCUCUGGGGUCUGGGCAGAGGCUGCACGAGUCAUCUGUUCACCACCCCGGAUGGCUGGGACUUGUCAGCACGAGCAUCCACCCUCCACUGAGGCAGAGCAGGCGCUACCUCUCUGGAAGAGGCUGAGGGCUGGAAAAAGGGCUGAGAGCCACUCCCUGCUCAGGAAAGCAGUGGAGUCAGGAGAAGGAGCUGAUGGAGGGUUAGGGGCUGUCCUGCCCCAUUUGUCUUGGGUCUGGUCCUCAGAUUCUGACCCCCAGAGAGCCAGAGAAGGCUGCCGAAGACAGAGGCACAGAUAGGACAGGGAUGGGCACCCACAGAGAAAAUGCCCUGCAAUGACCCCACUCAAAUUCUGGGUGGGAGUCGGGGAGAGGGGGGAUGGUAGGAGCCCAGGCCUGGCUGUGAACUUCCAGCAGGGAAGGCGAUGUCUGGCUACACCCAUCAUACCCCUGACGAGGCAGUAAUGAGCCCUCACCCCAUUUUAAUUACAUGCUGUCCAAAUAAUUACCAGUUUGUUUAUUUUACUUAAUGGCAGCCAUACUUUUUUCUCCUAAUAUUGAUUUCAUGUUUUCCUGGUUUGUUCAUUAUCUUUCCUACCCCUUUAAUGGGCUCCGAGGUCUGGGGGUGGCGGGGGAGGUGGGGACUAGAGGAAGGUAGGGGAGAGGGUGUGAGGGAACAUGGA
Molecule: RNA transcript, 5324 nt
Organism: Canis lupus familiaris (dog)
Lineage: Eukaryota; Metazoa; Chordata; Mammalia; Carnivora; Canidae
Exons: 3
Source: RefSeq, a predicted model, not a curated record